CGGUAGCGCUGGCGGUGCUUGAUGACGCCGGAGGAGCGUUACCGGGCUCGAAGGUGUUGAGUGGGAGGCCGAAGAGUAGGAGGGAAGGCUCCUAAGGCUCGGGAUCGCAGAAUAGAGAGGGAGAGGAGAUGAGAGAAGGAGAGAGAGAGAGAGAGAAUGAGAGAUUGGCUUCUCUUCUUCUCCGGCAGCCGGCGACAGCCACGGCGGCGGUUACUGAU
RNAcentral lists this long non-coding RNA (218 nucleotides) under Ananas comosus (pineapple). Its description in RNAcentral is "long non-coding RNA (ACOM_LNC024311)". Lineage: Eukaryota; Viridiplantae; Streptophyta; Magnoliopsida; Poales; Bromeliaceae. The record is from RNAcentral.